This 1120-nucleotide long non-coding RNA is filed under the name Cicer arietinum (chickpea). RNAcentral describes it as "long non-coding RNA (CARI_LNC003765)". Lineage: Eukaryota; Viridiplantae; Streptophyta; Magnoliopsida; Fabales; Fabaceae. The record is from RNAcentral.
AAUGCUCUGAAAAGAAGAGAUGACUAGGGUCCAGUAUCAUGCCCAGGGAGCCAUGGGAUACUCUAGAAUAGGCAGCCCAGAAGGAUCGUAGCACGAUCCCUAUAUCUUUGAAAGCUCAGCCAAUCCCUGAAUAGAAGAAUCGGAAUAAAGAGAAAGAGAGGGUACUGAUCACUUCAAGCAAGAUAGAAUCUUAGGGCAGUUGAAGCCUCUGGGCUUAGCACUACUAUGACCGAAGAAGACGAUUGACUAAAGAUAAAUCGCAGGAUAAACCGUGGGGAGAUUAGUGAAGCUAACGAGCUCAAACAAUUCCCAAGCACAACAAUAGCAAUAGCUGCAGCUUGAAAAGCGAAGGUAGUUCUUGGGACCUUCACAUUCACAAGAGAUCAAUGGAUAAGGUAGUUGUUAUGGAGUCAUGAAAGAGCCGAUUGUCUGAUGUGCUCGUCAGGUAGGAAGGAGAUUGCGAAGAGGUCUUCCAAGGGCGAUAUGUUAGUCAAAUUGGACCUUGAAGCUUUUUCAUUAGCUAAGCUGAUUCAAUUGAGUAAAAGAGUAAGCAAAUCAACAUUUGCCCCCGGAUCGUGUGCUUAGUCUUGUUAGUGACAUUCAAUUCCUUCUACCCUCACUAAUCUCUAAGUACUCUCCAUGGAUCUCAACACUGCCCCUUAACCAAGGGCUAGUCUUUGAACCAACCUGGAAAGCAAUACCGAAUUGUCCUUACCUCACAUCACAGUUGAUUGAAGGUAGCCUCGGUUAGCUCGUUCAAAAUCCCCUUUCUAGCUAUUACCUUUGCCAGAGGAUUAUAAAUUUAUUUCUUAAGGCCCCCCUUUCUGAUCAUUAUAUAGAAGAUUACAUAUGAAUCAUUAAACGUGACUUUAGAAGUCAGAAUAUCGCUAUCUGCUGGGAUCUAGUCCAUGAAAGACCUCUCACUGGCUGUCUUGCCCACAGGAUUUCUUAACCUAGUUUGCAGGAACUUGAUGUUAAGUAAACUCCAAAGAGAACUUUCAAAUUGCCUUAGCUUAUCAAUUCGGUUAGCAACAGCUAUCUAAAUAACUUUUAGAACAGUAUUUAUUGGUCUAACUGGCUUUAAGCUGAGCUUCUUCUGCAACUGGCUGAUCGGAUGGGG